RNAcentral lists this ribosomal RNA (165 nucleotides) under uncultured bacterium. Its description in RNAcentral is "partial 16S rRNA". It matches the Rfam family "Bacterial small subunit ribosomal RNA", at positions 355 to 511 of the family's 1533-position model. The record is from RNAcentral.
UAGGGAAUCUUCGGCAAUGGACGAAAGUCUGACCGAGCAACGCCGCGUGAGUGAAGAAGGUUUUCGGAUCGUAAAACUCUGUUGGUAGAGAAGAACGUUGGUGAGAGUGGAAAGCUCAUCAAGUGACGGUAACUACCCAGAAAGGGACGGCCAACUACGUGCCAC